CCUACGGGAGGCAGCAGUGAGGAAUAUUGGUCAAUGGACGAGAGUCUGAACCAGCCAAGUAGCGUGAAGGAUGACUGCCCUAUGGGUUGUAAACUUCUUUUAUAUGGGAAUAAAAUGUUCCACGUGUGGGAUUUUGUAUGUACCAUAUGAAUAAGGAUCGGCUAACUCCGUGCCAGCAGCCGCGGUAAUACGGAGGAGCCGAGGGUUAUCCGGAUUUAUUGGGUUUAAAGGGAGCGUAGGUGGAUUGUUAAGUCAGUUGUGAAAGUUUGCGGCUCAACCGUAAAAUUGCAGUUGAAACUGGCAGUCUUGAGUACAGUAGAGGUGGGCGGAAUUCGUGGUGUAGCGGUGAAAUGCUUAGAUAUCACGAAGAACUCCGAUUGCGAAGGCAGCUUACUGGACUGCAACUGACACUGAGGCUCGAAAGUGUGGGUAUCAAACAGGAUUAGAUACCCGGGUAGUC
RNAcentral lists this ribosomal RNA (460 nucleotides) under uncultured bacterium. RNAcentral's name for it is "partial 16S ribosomal RNA". It matches the Rfam family "Bacterial small subunit ribosomal RNA", at positions 338 to 795 of the family's 1533-position model. The record is from RNAcentral.